RNAcentral lists this ribosomal RNA (372 nucleotides) under uncultured bacterium. Its description in RNAcentral is "bacterial SSU rRNA". It matches the Rfam family "Bacterial small subunit ribosomal RNA", at positions 524 to 898 of the family's 1533-position model. The record is from RNAcentral.
UACGAAGGAUCCAAGCGUUAUCCGGAUUUAUUGGGUUUAAAGGGUGCGUAGGCGGACUAUUAAGUCAGUGGUGAAAGCCUGCAGCUUAACUGCAGAACUGCCAUUGAUACUGAUGGUCUUGAGUACAUUUGAGGUGGGCGGAAUGUGUCAUGUAGUGGUGAAAUACUUAGAUAUGACACAGAACUCCGAUUGCGAAGGCAGCUCACUAAACUGUAACUGACGCUGAGGCACGAAAGCGUGGGGAUCAAACAGGAUUAGAUACCCUGGUAGUCCACGCCCUAAACGAUGAUUACUCGAUGUGUGCGAUACACUGUACGCGUCUGAGCGAAAGCAUUAAGUAAUCCACCUGGGGAGUACGGCCGCAAGGCUGAA